Molecule: ribosomal RNA, 311 nt
Filed under: uncultured bacterium
Lineage: Bacteria
Description: bacterial SSU rRNA
Rfam family: Bacterial small subunit ribosomal RNA
Source: RNAcentral
UAAGGCCUUGCGCGAUUAGAGCGGCCGAUACCUGAUUAGCUAGUUGGUGAGGUAAAGGCUCACCAAGGCAACGAUCAGUAGCUGGUCUCGAGAGGACGAUCAGCCACACUGGGACUGAGACACGGCCCAGACUCCUACGGGAGGCAGCAGUGGGGAAUUUUGGACAAUGGGGGAAACCCUGAUCCAGCGAAUGCCGCGUGAGUGAAGAAGGCCUUCGGGUUGUAAAGCUCUUUUGUCAGGGAAGGAAACAGCAGCUCUAAUACAGUCUGCGAAUGACGGUACCUGAAGAAUAAGCACCGGCUAACUACGUG